Molecule: ribosomal RNA, 244 nt
Filed under: uncultured bacterium
Lineage: Bacteria
Description: partial 16S ribosomal RNA
Rfam family: Bacterial small subunit ribosomal RNA
Source: RNAcentral
CACGGGGGGAGCAAGCGUUGUUCGGAAUCACUGGGCGUAAAGGGCUUGUAGGCGGUCAAGUAAGUGGAAUGUGAAAGCCCCCGGCUUACCCGGGGAUCUGCAUCCCAAACUGCUUGGCUUGAGUACGGGAGAGGAUAGGGGAAUUCCUGGUGUAGCGGUGAAAUGCGUAGAUAUCCGGAGGAACACCGGUGGCGAAGGCGGCGUUCUGGACUGCAACUGACACUGAGGAACGAAAGCCAGGGGA